Molecule: ribosomal RNA, 460 nt
Filed under: uncultured bacterium
Lineage: Bacteria
Description: partial 16S ribosomal RNA
Rfam family: Bacterial small subunit ribosomal RNA
Source: RNAcentral
CCUACGGGAGGCUGCAGUGAGGAAUAUUGGUCAAUGGGCGCGAGCCUGAACCAGCCAAGUAGCGUGAAGGAUGACUGCCCUACGGGCUGUAAACUUCUUUUAUAAAGGAAUAAAGUGAGGCACGUGUGCCUUUUUCUAUGUCCUUUAUGAAUAAGGAUCGGCCAACUCUGUGCCAGCAGCCGCGGUAAUACGGAGGAGCCGAGCGUUAUCCGGAGUUAUUGGGUUUAAAGGGAGCGUAGAUGGGUUGUUAAGUCAGUUGUGAAAGUUUGCGGCUCAACCGUAAAAUUGCAAUUGAUACUGGCAGCCUUGAGUACAGUUGGGGUAGGCGGAAUUCGUGGUGUAGCGGUGAAAUGCUUAGAUAUCACGAAGAACUCCGAUUGCGAAGGCAGCUUACUAAACUGCCACUGACAUUGAUGCUCGAAAGUGUGGGUAUCAAACAGGAUUAGAUACCCUUGUAGUC